GCGCGGUGGUCCCACCUGACCCCAUGCCGAACUCAGAAGUGAAACGCCGUAGCGCCGAUGGUAGUGUGGGGUCUCCCCAUGUGAGAGUAGGGAACUGCCAGAC
Molecule: ribosomal RNA, 103 nt
Filed under: Enterobacter hormaechei
Lineage: Bacteria; Pseudomonadati; Pseudomonadota; Gammaproteobacteria; Enterobacterales; Enterobacteriaceae
Source: RNAcentral